GUCCAGGGAUGGGAAUAGAACCCACAGUGUUCUGCUUCUUACCGGGCAGAUGCCAUGUCCACUAAGCUACCCUUGGA
Molecule: non-coding RNA, 77 nt
Organism: Cordylochernes scorpioides
Lineage: Eukaryota; Metazoa; Arthropoda; Arachnida; Pseudoscorpiones; Chernetidae
Source: the annotation of a GenBank genome assembly